This 1127-nucleotide small RNA is filed under the name Pan troglodytes (chimpanzee). RNAcentral describes it as "retained intron". The record is from RNAcentral. Lineage: Eukaryota; Metazoa; Chordata; Mammalia; Primates; Hominidae.
UCUUUUCGAUCCGGGACGGCCGGUCAGGCUCGCCGCCGAGCUGGAGAACUACGAUGACCCGCACAAAACCCCUGCCUCCCCAGUUGUCCACAUCAGGGGCCUGAUUGACGGCGUGGUGGAAGCAGACCUUGUGGAGGCCUUGCAGGAGUUUGGACCCAUCAGCUAUGUGGUGGUAAUGCCUAAAAAGAGACAAGCACUGGUGGAGUUUGAAGAUGUGUUGGGGGCUUGCAACGCAGUGAACUACGCAGCCGACAACCAAAUAUACAUUGCUGGUCACCCAGCUUUUGUCAACUACUCUACCAGCCAGAAGAUCUCCCGCCCUGGGGACUCGGAUGACUCCCGGAGCGUGAACAGUGUGCUUCUCUUUACCAUCCUGAACCCCAUUUAUUCGAUCACCACGGAUGUUCUUUACACUAUCUGUAAUCCUUGUGGCCCUGUCCAGAGAAUUGUCAUUUUCAGGAAGAAUGGAGUUCAGGCGAUGGUGGAAUUUGACUCAGUUCAAAGUGCCCAGCGGGCCAAGGCCUCUCUCAAUGGGGCUGAUAUCUAUUCUGGCUGUUGCACUCUGAAGAUCGAAUACGCAAAGCCUACACGCUUGAAUGUGUUCAAGAAUGAUCAGGAUACUUGGGACUACACAAACCCCAAUCUCAGUGGACAAGGUAAUCUUGACGACCACUUUGUUCUAAACAUACCCGCCUUGCUUUCACUCGACUAGUGCACUUCAUAGGCCUGGGCUCAGGGUUAUGUAAUGCCAUUGGGCCCCCCAUGGACAUGGGAGGGCCUUGGGGUCAGCUCUUGGACACCCUAGUGGGAUGGGGGAGUGAGAGGCCUCCAUGGGUCUUCACUGCUGCUUGGGGCCCUCCGAUGCUGCUCAGGAUACAGAGGCAAGGCAGAAGCCUGGACGGGCGGGGAGCAGGGCCUCACUGAGGAUGAGGCAUGGGGGCGGCCUUAGAAACCAGCAGUGGCUCCUUUGAGAGUCUGGUGAGGGUCACUCACUCCAUUCUUGCUGGGCCAGGCAUUGUCCUCUUGUUCUGCGCUGUUGAGAGGGUCUGAUUUGGGGGAGUGACAGUGUUGGGGGGCGAUGAGGUCUCCCGGGCUCUUGCAGUGAGCCUUGUGAGCAAGCUGACCCU